GAUGAACGCUGGCGGCGUGCCUAAUACAUGCAAGUAGAACGCUGAAGGAGGAGCUUGCUCUUCUGGAUGAGUUGCGAACGGGUGAGUAACGCGUAGGUAACCUGCCUGGUAGCGGGGGAUAACUAUUGGAAACGAUAGCUAAUACCGCAUGACAACAGUUAUUGCAUGAUAACUGUUUAAAAGGGGCAACUGCUCCACUACCAGAUGGACCUGCGUUGUAUUAGCUAGUUGGUGAGGUAACGGCUCACCAAGGCGACGAUACAUAGCCGACCUGAGAGGGUGAUCGGCCACACUGGGACUGAGACACGGCCCAGACUCCUACGGGAGGCAGCAGUAGGGAAUCUUCGGCAAUGGACGGAAGUCUGACCGAGCAACGCCGCGUGAGUGAAGAAGGGUGUCGGAUCGUAAAGCUCUGUUGUAAGAGAAGAACGAGUGUGAGAGUGGAAAGUUCACACUGUGACGGUAUCUGACCAGAAAGGGACGGCUAACUACGUG
RNAcentral lists this ribosomal RNA (495 nucleotides) under uncultured bacterium. Its description in RNAcentral is "partial 16S ribosomal RNA". It matches the Rfam family "Bacterial small subunit ribosomal RNA", at positions 28 to 507 of the family's 1533-position model. The record is from RNAcentral.